UACGGAGGGUGCAAGCGUUGUUCGGAAUUACUGGGCGUAAAGGGCGUGUAGGCGGCUAAUCAAGUCAGAUGUGAAAGCCCUGGGCUUAACUCAGGAAGUGCAUCUGAAACUGAUGGGCUAGAGUACAGGAGAGGAAGGUGGAAUUCCUGGUGUAGGGGUGAAAUUCGUAGAUAUCGGGAAGAACACCGGUGGCGAAGGCGGCCUUCUGGCUUGAUACUGACGCUGAGACGCGAAAGCGUGGGGAG
This 245-nucleotide ribosomal RNA is filed under the name uncultured delta proteobacterium. Its description in RNAcentral is "partial 16S ribosomal RNA". It matches the Rfam family "Bacterial small subunit ribosomal RNA", at positions 524 to 768 of the family's 1533-position model. Lineage: Bacteria; Deltaproteobacteria. The record is from RNAcentral.